Molecule: ribosomal RNA, 443 nt
Filed under: uncultured bacterium
Lineage: Bacteria
Description: partial 16S ribosomal RNA
Rfam family: Bacterial small subunit ribosomal RNA
Source: RNAcentral
CCUACGGGUGGCAGCAGUGGGGAAUAUUGGGCAAUGUGCGCAAGCCUGACCCAGCAACGCCGCGUGAAGGCAGAAGGCUUUCGGGUUGUACACUUCUUUUCUCAGGGACGAAGCAAGUGACGGUACCUGAGGAAUAAGCCACGGCUAACUACGUGCCAGCAGCCGCGGUAAUACGUAGGGGGCAAGCGUUAUCCGGAUGUACUGGGUGUAAAGGGCGUGUAGGCGGGACUGCAAGUCAGAUGUGAAAAACAUGGGGUCAACCUAUGGCCUGCAUUUGAAACUGUAGUUCUUGAGUACUGGAGAGGUAGACGGAAUUCCUAGUGUAGCGGUGAAAUGCGUAGAUAUUAGGAGGAACACCAGUGGCGAAGGCGGUCUGCUGGACAGCAACUGACGCUGAGGCGCGAAAGCGUGGGGAGCAAACAGGAUUAGAUACCCCAGUAGUC